GACGAACGCUGGCGGCGUGCUUAACACAUGCAAGUCGAACGCUGAAGCCCUGGCUUUUGUUGGGUUGGAUGAGUGGCGAACGGGUGAGUAACACGUGAGUAACCUGCCCUCUUCUUUGGGAUAACGCCCGGAAACGGGUGCUAAUACUGGAUAUUCACUGAUCUUCGCAUGGGGGUUGGUGGAAAGGUUUGUUCUGGUGGGGGAUGGGCUCGCGGCCUAUCAGCUUGUUGGUGGGGUGAUGGCCUACCAAGGCUUUGACGGGUAGCCGGCCUGAGAGGGUGACCGGUCACAUUGGGACUGAGAUACGGCCCAGACUCCUACGGGAGGCAGCAGUGGGGAAUAUUGCACAAUGGGCGAAAGCCUGAUGCAGCGACGCCGCGUGAGGGAUGGAGGCCUUCGGGUUGUAAACCUCUUUCGCUCAUGGUCAAGCCGCAACUGUGGGUUGUGGGGAGGGUAGUGGGGAAAGAAGCGCCGGCUAACUACGG
Molecule: ribosomal RNA, 485 nt
Filed under: uncultured bacterium
Lineage: Bacteria
Description: partial 16S ribosomal RNA
Rfam family: Bacterial small subunit ribosomal RNA
Source: RNAcentral